This 463-nucleotide ribosomal RNA is filed under the name uncultured bacterium. RNAcentral's name for it is "partial 16S ribosomal RNA". It matches the Rfam family "Bacterial small subunit ribosomal RNA", at positions 28 to 507 of the family's 1533-position model. The record is from RNAcentral.
GAUGAACGCUGACAGAAUGCUUAACACAUGCAAGUCGAUGGGGAAGUGGUGCUUGCACCAUGGCAACCAUGGCGGACGGGUGAGUAACGCGUAAGGGACUUACCUGCAGGACUGGGAUAACAGGGGGAAACUCCUGACAAGACCGGAUAAUGUCAUGGAGCUGCAUGGCUUUAUGUUGAAAGGAGACGCCUGCGGAGAGCCUUGCGUCCUAUUAGCUAGUUGGUGAGGUAAUGGCUCACCAAGGCGAAGAUAGGUAGCCGGCCUGAGAGGGUGGACGGCCACAAGGGGACUGAGAUACGGCCCUUACUCCUACGGGAGGCAGCAGUGGGGAAUAUUGGACAAUGGGGGCAACCCUGAUCCAGCAAUUCUGUGUGCACGAAGAAGGUUUUCGGAUUGUAAAGUGCUUUCAGCAGGGAAGAAGUAAGUGACGGUACCUGCAGAAGAAGCGACGGCUAAAUACGUG